RNAcentral lists this non-coding RNA (180 nucleotides) under uncultured Negativibacillus sp. RNAcentral describes it as "Lysine riboswitch". It matches the Rfam family "Lysine riboswitch aptamer". Rfam says of the family: Riboswitches are metabolite binding domains within certain messenger RNAs that serve as precision sensors for their corresponding targets. Allosteric rearrangement of mRNA structure is mediated by ligand binding, and this results in modulation of gene expression. This family includes riboswitches that sense lysine in a number of genes involved in lysine metabolism, including lysC. The record is from RNAcentral. Lineage: Bacteria; Bacillati; Bacillota.
ACGAUAGAGGCGCACCUUUCAUCAGUAGCUCAGGACAAGGCUGCCAAAGCUGUUUGAAUCCUCUGCCAAAGGGAACGGUGCCGAAGGGGGUAUUUCGGCGAAUACUGCCCUGGGUGUGUCCUGAACAAGGGCGCAACUGUCACCGUGCUUUCCGCUGCGGAACCGGUGAAGCGCUAUCCG